Molecule: unclassified non-coding RNA, 240 nt
Filed under: soil metagenome
Description: partial contains 5.8S ribosomal RNA, internal transcribed spacer 2, and large subunit ribosomal RNA
Source: RNAcentral
AACCAUAGAAACCUGCGGAGUACCUGCGGAGGGAUCAUUAUAGUAUAUGGAAUCUCCAUUCUAUAAACCCACUCUGCGUAUCUUGUAACUGUUGCUUCCAUGGGACUUGGUUCCGCCACACCGGCUUCACGGCUGGUGAGCGCCCAUGGAAGGAGAAACAAAACUCUUCUUUGAAAUGUAGUCAGUCUGAACAAGUUUUUAUAAACGUCAAAACUUUUAACAAUGGAUCUCAGAUCGGAA